GGGUUAUCCGUACUUACUUACCCUUUUAUCGUUCUCUUUUGCCGGACCUUCAGCUAGCAAGGUGCCCGAGAGCUGUGACUGCACCGAGGGCUAACAUAUUGUGUGUUGUCUCUUCGUGUGCAGGUCGAAUAAAAAUGAUUCUACCAUCAG
Salmo salar (Atlantic salmon) is the source of this 150-nucleotide non-coding RNA. The record is from RefSeq and is a predicted model, not a curated record. Lineage: Eukaryota; Metazoa; Chordata; Actinopteri; Salmoniformes; Salmonidae.